Long non-coding RNA from Catharus ustulatus (Swainson's thrush), 1776 nucleotides. RefSeq lists it as uncharacterized. The transcript has 3 exons. NCBI's taxonomy places the organism in Eukaryota, Metazoa, Chordata, Aves, Passeriformes, Turdidae. The record is from RefSeq and is a predicted model, not a curated record.
GGCUGACCCAGUUACAGCUUUACCCCAACCACACAGCGAGUGGCAGCAGUGAUGCUGCGCCUUCUGCCAGCACUGUGGCAGUGCUCGUGGGCAGGAAAUCUCUGCAGCGAGCAUUACAAGACCUGUGCUGGUGAGAGCUGCACCACCUCUGUCAGCGCAGCAAGAGGAAUGGCAAGGUCCCAACUAGCCAAGGUCCCACCCGGCCUGGAGGCUUCAGAGCAGCUCUGCUUGGUGGGCAAAGCUGGGUGGGCAUGCCGGACUCAUGCCAUGCCAGGCUGGCCCUGUCCCGGGCCAUGGGCAGAGCUCAGGCUGCAGCCACACUGCCACAGCCACAGCCCUGGCCUGGAGGUCCAGGGAGACCGCUGGCACCAGCCCAGUGCCAGAGGAAGAGAAUCUAGGUCACAGAUCCUCUCUGAGAACAAGCACAUCUGAUGCUGCCAAGGGAAACAAACUGGCAGGAGAAAGGGGAACAAACUGGCUUGAAAGCAACAGGAGGAUGGGGAGAAGUAACUCAGGGAUAGAAACAAGGACACUCCGGGAGAGUUCUAUUUUUUAGCUUUGUAGGUGACUGCCAAUUGUCCAAAUACAGAGUGGCUUGUUGGUGGCUGCAAUCGCAGGAAGAAAAGAAUUGCAUUUCAGAACAGCUUUGAAUGCACUUCCAGCAGAACCAUGCAUGGAGCCAUAGGACAUCCAGAAGCUUUAGAGCAGGUACAAGGUCUCUGGCAGACACCCACAGUGAAGCUGGGAGUUUUCCUUUUAUUGCAGUGUUGCUGACUCAGUCUAAUGUCCUGCACAACAAUUUCAGCUUUUUUAAACCGGGAUGUGCAAUACCAAGCACAGUAAGCCAGUGCAUGUGCCUUUGAGUUGGCAGCAGUAUGGUACCUCAUAGCAGCUUUUGGGCCUGUCAGCCUGAUUUUAUCACAUUUGAACAGUUUGCUUAGUCUGUAUGUCUGAAAAAUCAGAGUAAUUCUACCUUCUGAGGCCUGGAACACUCCCCAGAUCCCUGGCACCUCAGGGUUAUCAGAUGACAGAGGAAGAAAUGACAGUCUAGUGGGUGUCCCUGGCUUGUUCAGUCAGUAAUUAAUAUACUUGCUUCAGUUUCAGAUGUGUGGCACAAAAUCUAGAGAUGAAACACGACACCGAGGUUCCAGACAUCCUGGAGCUGCUGGAAUGUGUUUUAAGUGUAUCACUGUUCCCUGUGGGAGUGGAAGGCAGGGAGACAUGAUCUAGAUGUAAAAAUCUGAAGGGAGAGUGUGAGCAUGGGACAUUUAUUAGAUCUGACUGCAGCCAGCAGUUAUCUGUCUGAGUCGAAGGGUGAAAUUGGAUAACAAACAUUAUCUUUUCAGCACGCAAAGGAAGAGAUUGCAGUGGGAAAUGAACAUUUCAUGUUUUAAUAGUCAGGUUGGCCUAGCAGGAAGAUAAAGUUUCAAAAGUAUGAUAAAAAUGCACUUUCUUGUUUUUUUACAGGACCUUGUUUCUUCCCAGAAAACUAUGUUUGGCAGAACAGAAUAACAUAUUUGGCCAGACCUGAGAGCAUUUUUAUGAGUUCCAUGUGAGAUGCUGAAGCCUUAACUUAAUUGGCUUUACAUUCCUCAGGAAGACAUACACCCUGUAUCCACAUCCACUCAGUCUGCUCUCCUUUUCAAUCUUGUUACUGUAACUAUUGAUUUCUCUUGUUUUAGUCCAACCUGAUGCUUAUGUAAAUCAAGUCAGUUGCUGUAAUCUGUGCUGAGUCAGGGAUGUAAAAUUCACAGCCUUUCUUGCUUUCCUCCUCUU